Molecule: ribosomal RNA, 191 nt
Filed under: uncultured Cronobacter sp.
Lineage: Bacteria; Pseudomonadati; Pseudomonadota; Gammaproteobacteria; Enterobacterales; Enterobacteriaceae
Description: partial 16S ribosomal RNA
Rfam family: Bacterial small subunit ribosomal RNA
Source: RNAcentral
CUAGGGAGGCAGCAGUGGGGAAUAUUGCACAAUGGGCGCAAGCCUGAUGCAGCCAUGCCGCGUGUAUAAAGAAGGCCUUCGGGUUGUAAAGUACUUUCAGCGGGGAGGAAGGCGUUGUGGUUAAUAACCACAGCGAUUGACGUUACCCGCAGAAGAAGCACCGGCUAACUCCGUGCCAGCAGCCGCGGUAA